This 117-nucleotide ribosomal RNA is filed under the name Paramormyrops kingsleyae. The record is from RNAcentral. Lineage: Eukaryota; Metazoa; Chordata; Actinopteri; Osteoglossiformes; Mormyridae.
ACCAGCAGCCAUACCACCUGCAGUUCAGGCUAGGUAAUCCAUCUGAAGCCAAGCAGGUUUGGACAUGGCCAAUACCUGGAUGGAAGACCAGCAAGGAAAGCUGGGUUGCUGCUGGAA